UACAGAGGUGGCAAGCGUUGUUCGGAAUUACUGGGCGUAAAGGGCGCGUAGGCGGUCUUGCAAGUCCCGUGUGAAAUCCCUCGGCUCAACUGAGGAACUGCACGGGAAACUGCUUGGCUUGAGUUCGGGAGAGGGAAGCGGAAUUCCGGGUGUAGCGGUGAAAUGCGUAGAUAUCCGGAGGAACACCGGUGGCGAAGGCGGCUUCCUGGACCGAUUACUGACGCUGAGGCGCGAAAGCUAGGGGAGCAAACGGG
RNAcentral lists this ribosomal RNA (254 nucleotides) under uncultured bacterium. RNAcentral's name for it is "partial 16S ribosomal RNA". It matches the Rfam family "Bacterial small subunit ribosomal RNA", at positions 524 to 776 of the family's 1533-position model. The record is from RNAcentral.